CUCCUUCCUUGCUAGCUUGUACUCCUCCCUAAAAACCCGCUUCUCUUCAUCAUCCUUACUCUCAACCAACUUUGCAUACGCCCCUUUUUUAGUCUCCACUUUCUUCUUUACUUCAUCAUUCCACCACCAAUCCCCCCUAUGGUGCCCGGCCCGGUCCCUAGACACACCCAAAACCUUACUAGCAGUCUCCUUGAUGCACCUAUCCGCCCCAUACCACUUACCAUCUAUGUCUUCCCUACGCUCCCACACCGCCAUACCAG
Molecule: long non-coding RNA, 260 nt
Filed under: Capsicum annuum
Lineage: Eukaryota; Viridiplantae; Streptophyta; Magnoliopsida; Solanales; Solanaceae
Description: long non-coding RNA (CANN_LNC018213)
Source: RNAcentral